This is a long non-coding RNA of Cydia pomonella (codling moth), 3138 nucleotides long. RefSeq lists it as uncharacterized. The record is from RefSeq and is a predicted model, not a curated record. Lineage: Eukaryota; Metazoa; Arthropoda; Insecta; Lepidoptera; Tortricidae. The transcript has 2 exons.
CAGUAUGUAAGGUCAAGUGUUAGCAAAUUGAAGAUCGUGCUUCGCAUAAGGCCGGAGGCGAGCCAACCAAUGUCCAAGUGUGAGAAGACAUAAAAGGCAUAGGCCGUACUCCGCACAGGGUUUUGCAACCUCUACAGCUUUCCUGCGAAGCUCAUUCAUGUGAGGGCAAAGGCAGAGCUUCAGUAGGAGCUUCUUGUUCUGACAAGAACCAAUGGCCGCAAGUGUCUAAAAUAGCAAAUUAUUGUUUACGAAAACGGGACUUAAUAGGGUAAGUUUUAAAAUUACCACUGACCCGACGUUUCAAAAACGGCGUUUUCCCCAUGGUCUCGGAGAAGACUGUGUAAAGUCGACAUCAUUAUCUUGACGUUGGAGGUAAUUUUAGAACUUAAUCAAACGCGAUUAAGUCCCGUUUUCUUAAAUAAUAAUGUGUCACAAUUAGGCCCAUAAAAUUAGAUUUUUUCGAAUUUGGUCCUAAAAAUGCGUGUAAUCCGAGUUUGCUCCAUUCCAGGAGGUAUGCAUAAAUGUUUCCUCUUUUUCAGUUUUUUUUGCUUGAAAAUCGAAAAUGGUACGUCCGGCGGAAAAUUUGUUCUAAUUAUGAUUAAAACUGAUAUCUGAGGAUCCAAAAUGUAAUUUAAUUAUGUUCUUGCAAUAAAACAUAUUGAUUUAUUGAAGGUACCCUAAUAUGUAUUCCUAGUCUAAAUUGUAUAAAAAGGUCGACAUUUUUUUAUUUUUGGUAAAAUCAUGUUAAAAAUCCAAAAACGCCUUCUUACCAGUGUAUAAUCCACGAACUGUCCUAUGUCCUUCAAAAUCAAGUGGUUUCGAAAGGAAAAAAAUAUCUCCAAAGGAUCCCAAAAUGUAUGCAUACCCCCCGGGAUGGAGCAAACUUGGAUUACACGCAUUUAGAAUGAAAUGAAAGUAUCAAAACAUUUUCCAGCUUUCUGGGAAUUAGUUCCUCAAAACGCUAUUUUUGGAUCUAAUUUGAUUGGCCUAAAUCGUGAAAGUUUAAAUCAGUGUUUUUAAAGACAAAGUCUAAGGCUGAGCUUUUCAUAAGGCUGAACGCGCGGAGCGUUCGAUCGGCGCUUACGGAUGAGGCAUGGAUGAGGCCAAAGGUCGAGAUGGAAGAAAGCAUUUGAAUUUGACCACUGGCGAGGUAUGAAUGGCUGAACGUCCAGAGCGUCCGAUCGCGGUGGGUUAUCAUACAAUACAACUGAUGGCGAGGUGUGAGCAAGGCAGAAGGCCCAGCUUCGAGAGAGGACAGCUUAGAUUUGGAUCCAUGUUAAGUGAAAGUAAGGCAGUUUGCACAAAGUAGAAGGCCUAGCGUCGCAUAAGACCUAACGCCGAACUGCAAUAGAGUGGCUUGAAAUCGAACCUAUGUAAUCACGGUUCUCCUACUGCUCGGCCUUUGGCUUAAGUGGAAACCGAAACUUAAUAAGUUGCUUUUGGUUUUGUGCUUUCGCGGGGCCCUUUAUAACAGUUUGACAAUUAGGUCGCAGGAUCGUGGUUCUGCAGCAACUCGGCCAGGCCGACACAUCUGGCGUGCAAGAGAACAAAAUUCGCUACAAAAUCGGUAAUCUACGUCGAGAAAAUCGGUUGGCCACAAGCCCGACGGUCCUAAUAAUACAAUACAAUACAAAUACUAUUUAUUGCACACCUCAAUACAGAAACAGUACAAAUAAUACAACACAUAAAGAAGAGGCAAACAACAGGCGAAGAGACAGGAGAACAAACAACAAAACAGGAAAACAGGAGGAGGAGGAAGGGGUAAAUAAUUUGGCACGUUUAAUGCUAUAGUUGACUCAGGCUUCCAAAAGUAUCUUAAAUGUUUUUUUAUAGGAUAAUAUACCUACAAUUUACACAUACAUUAGUAAUUUUUCCCCCUUCCAAUGAUUAGCUAUUUCAAUCUUAUUUUAAGGCAGUACAGGUUAUUUUCCUACAAAAACUGCAUAUAAAGACCAAUAAUUAUUUAGUUUAACCUAAAAGGUAUUUAUUUGACACUUAAUCAUUGUUGUUGACAUAGAUGGUAUUCGUUAUUGAACAACAUCAAUAUGACAAUAAUGUGCGAAAAGUAUGCCGUAUGUAGGUAUGUAUGCCGACGGAUAGGGGCCAUUCCUGAGAUGCGCGGUCAUCGGCCGCGCUGCGUAUGUAGCUGUCUUAUUAAUAUUUAUUUAUGUAUAAUAUUGUAUAAUUAUAAUUUUUUUUUCCAUUUUACUCUAACUGACCCUGCACCAAGUAGAUCUACGAUUUAGCUCAUAGUUGACUGGUAGAGAAUGCCUUCUGGCAUUAAGUCUACCAUUUGUACUCUUUAUAUAUUGUGCAAUAAAGUUGAAAUAAAUAGAUAUUAACUGUAAUAUUUCAAAAGCCUUCCUUAGUUUAGGACGAGAUCGAUUUACCCCUAGUAUUUUAACUAGAAACUUACAUAAGAAAAUAUAUUGAGAUAUAAAAUCAUAAGGGAUCAAUUACGGAAUUUAGGUAAAAUGUAAUUUGUACAAGUAUUUGGUACUUUUUUUUUACUCAAACAGUAUCCUCGGCAUAAUCCGAUUUGUAUACUUUUUUUUUAUAGAAUCGUACAUUUUACUGCAGCAUUGCGGUGUGAAAGGGAUCUUAACUUAAUCAUCUCAGUAGAUUUUUUACCGAAGAGCAAAUUCCCCAUGUCGGUUUCUAAAUUAUCAAACAUAGUCCUUAACACGGCAAAUGAAUCAUGGAUACCAGCCUCUCAAAUUAACUAGGUAUUAAUAUUAAAUUAUGACCGGCUACGUACAUCCCGGCGACGGCUAGCUGAGGACGAAUGCUAAAAAUUUCAAACUAGGACCCAUUACACCGGGGUAAUGAUGAAUGCCUCUUGAAUUAAACUAAGAGCCAGUAAUAGUAAAGUCUGACCGGCUACGUACGUCCCCGCGUCCGGACUGAGUCACGCGAGGAAUGCCGUCCGGCCGCUCGCCCCGCCCGCGCCGCGGCUAGCUGAGGACCAGUGCCAAAAAGGUCAGCCCGCUAGGACCCACUAGCCAGAAAAAAAGGAUGGGUUUAGACGUCGCUUAGAUACCUAACACCAGUACCUUUAACAUAAGGGUAAGUAAUAUAACGAACUACCAAAUAAUAUUAGCCUAAAUACGGUUUGAAAAAUAUACCAAUGAAUAAUUU